This 729-nucleotide long non-coding RNA is filed under the name Marmota monax (woodchuck). The record is from RNAcentral. Lineage: Eukaryota; Metazoa; Chordata; Mammalia; Rodentia; Sciuridae.
CUCCUAUCACUCACCUGAAGGGCAUCAGGCCUAAGCCUGCAGAUGGGUCUGGGGCUUCCUAAGUGGAGCAGUGGAGAUGGAGUCUCUCUUCUCGAGAAAACUAAGCUGGGCAAUAGCUCCUCAGGAAAACAGGGUAACAGCUCUGUGAUCCAACAAUUCUGAACUUCAGACAGCUCUGAAAACCAAAUCUUUUCCUCAUCAUUCAUCAUUGACUUGGUGGCCAAGCAGUUGACCUGCACUCAGGCUGGCCCUUUGUGAUCUUGUGACCUCAUUUGGGGUGAAUGGUUAUGUUUGCUGUUCAAGGGAUGGUUUAUGGGGAGCUCAUUUAGGCCCCACAGAGGUAUUAACCACUGUGUUACAAAUCUGAAAAACUCUUGAGUUCUAGAACACUUGUGGACUUCCAAGUAUUUCGGAUGAAGGCUUGGGGACCUUUUAUGAUUCCUUCUGACCCUCUUUUCUAAUUGCCAGAGCAAAUCUACCAGAUUUCAUUCACAGGUUGACCUUCAUUUAAAGAAUCUUUAUCCAGGAGCUUUUCAAAAGAUCCCUUGUUCUCAGAUAGGGAAGAAUAACAAGCCCCAGGCUGUGGGAACCUGUCCAGCUCUACCUGAAGGCAAGCCCAAGGAUUCUUAGUGACCACUGCCCAAUCUGUUUCCUAGAACUAUGCUUUUUUGACUCUGUGUGUUAUAGGACUCUUCUGCACCAUGUCCAUGCCCCCAAGACGCUGAUCCU